CCCCCCAAACACAUUCUCAAACCCUCUCCCUCAUCAUCUCUCACCCUCCGCCUCGCCGCAGCCAGAAAUCGUCCCACGGCGGAGGCCCACCACCAAAUGCCCUCAAAUAUUAACCACAAAAUCUCCACGCCCUCCUCAUUCCUAAUCUCCAAUCAAUUUCCCAAGUAAACAACCAAAACUCUGCGGAUUUCAGAUCUGGGCAUCCUCAGAAAACUCUAAUCCAUCCCUCUAUAAAUUUCUUUCCAAUAUUUGCUCAUUUUGAUAUCAAAACUUACACCAAUCUACUCAUCGUAUUGAGUACUGUCAUUUCAUGGCAGUUUUAUGAUAGUUCGCGAUCAUCGGUGAACGGUCAAGAACUGUUGACCACCCCAAUCACCACUCAGCUUCACCGUCUUCUUCCGACUUGCGAUGGACAGUGUUCCAUGCAUCACAGGAUGAGCUUCUAAGCUCAAACCUGUGGCCACGGGGCACUGACCAUUGCCGGCCGGAAUUUGUGCUUCGGCUAGGAUUCGUUCAAGAGAUCUAGGUAUAUCUUAUCAGACCAGACGUUAGUGAAUUAUCCGUAUGAGGAGACUUCGAGGUAUAUCUGCCAGCGUCCGCAGGCUCCGGAGUCCCCUUUUAUCUUAUUAUGUUGUCUUUCUUAUUUCCUUUAGACUCUGAUGUAUAGAGACACUUAGAAUAAAUUAUUAGAAGCGUGUGACUUAUUUCUACCGGGUUCUAGGAGUUGUACUUAUGUGAA
This is a non-coding RNA of Nicotiana tabacum (common tobacco), 739 nucleotides long. Lineage: Eukaryota; Viridiplantae; Streptophyta; Magnoliopsida; Solanales; Solanaceae. The record is from RefSeq and is a predicted model, not a curated record.